CUUGUCUCCACUGCUGGGCUCUCUAGACGCGCGGCUGCGGCUCCGGGGACCCAGAAGACGGGAGGGGCGGCAGAUGGACUCGGACGCCUGGCUGCUGCCCUUGACCCAAAUGACCUCCAAGGGCCGACUCCAGGAAUUCGGUGGGGAGAUUAUGAGGCCCCUGUGGCCUUGAGGCUUCCUCCCUGGUGACUGAAGACAGGAGAACGGGGACUCAGCGGGUUCCUUACCUCCAGCCCAGAGCCAUGAGCCCAGGCUGUGCCCACCCCAGGAGAGUUGUGGACCUGCCUGACCCGAGUGAACUAGGAAAGACCAUGGAGGAAACGGAGAAGGAAUCAACUUGGCCGACACCUUGGUUUCAGACUUCCAGCCUCCAGAACUAUGAGAUGUUUGACGCACAGCCUGUGGUCCUUUGUUACGGCAGCCCUAGCAAACAAACACACUGAGGAGGAAGAAGAAACGUCUAUUGGAGGUGACUCCGGAAGGCAGCCUUUGAGAGAAGUACAUGAACUACUUAAAACCUGAGUCUGACACAAGGGCCACAUACUGCAUGAUGCUGUUCGUAUGAAGCCUCCCCAACAGGCACAUAUACAGACAGAAGGUGGAUUGCCUAGGUCAGCUGAAGCGGGGGAGGGAGGAAUGACAAUGAGUAUGGGGUUUCUU
Molecule: long non-coding RNA, 660 nt
Filed under: Equus asinus (donkey)
Lineage: Eukaryota; Metazoa; Chordata; Mammalia; Perissodactyla; Equidae
Description: lncRNA (ENSEASG00005031530.1)
Source: RNAcentral